UUCUCCUGGAAACGGGUGGUAAUGCCGGAUGUUCCACAUGAGCGCAUGCGAGUGUGGGAAAGGCUUUUUGCGGCAUGGGAUGGGGUCGCGUCCUAUCAGCUUGUUGGUGGGGUAACGGCCUACCAAGGCGUUGACGGGUUGCCGGCCUGAGAGGGCGACCGGCCACAUUGGGACUGAGAUACGGCCCAGACUCCUACGGGAGGCAGCAGUGGGGAAUAUUGCACAAUGGGCGCAAGCCUGAUGCAGCGACGCCGCGUGCGGGAUGGAGGCCUUCGGGUUGUAAACCGCUUUUGUUCAAGGGCAAGGCACGGUUUCGGCCGUGUUGAGUGGAUUGUUCGAAUAAGCACCGGCUAACUACGUGCCAGCAGCCGCGGUAAUACGUAGGGUGCAAGCGUUAUCCGGAUUUAUUGGGCGUAAAGGGCUCGUAGGCGGUUCGUCGCGUCCGGUGUGAAAGUCCAUCGCUUAACGGUGGAUCCGCGCCGGGUACGGGCGGGCUUGAGUGCGGUAGGGGAGACUGGAAUUCCCGGUGUAACGGUGGAAUGUGUAGAUAUCGGGAAGAACACCA
This 565-nucleotide ribosomal RNA is filed under the name uncultured Bifidobacterium sp. RNAcentral describes it as "bacterial SSU rRNA". It matches the Rfam family "Bacterial small subunit ribosomal RNA", at positions 145 to 711 of the family's 1533-position model. The record is from RNAcentral. Lineage: Bacteria; Bacillati; Actinomycetota; Actinomycetes; Bifidobacteriales; Bifidobacteriaceae.